GCCUGGCUGGCUCAGCGGAUAGAGCAUGUGACUCCAUUUCAGGGUUGUGAGUUCGAGCCCCAUGUUGGGCA
This 71-nucleotide transfer RNA is filed under the name Mustela putorius furo (domestic ferret). It matches the Rfam family "tRNA". From Rfam's summary of the family: Transfer RNA (tRNA) molecules are approximately 80 nucleotides in length. Their secondary structure includes four short double-helical elements and three loops (D, anti-codon, and T loops). Lineage: Eukaryota; Metazoa; Chordata; Mammalia; Carnivora; Mustelidae. The record is from Rfam by way of RNAcentral.